Molecule: transfer RNA, 73 nt
Organism: Herbinix sp.
Lineage: Bacteria; Bacillati; Bacillota; Clostridia; Lachnospirales; Lachnospiraceae
Rfam family: tRNA
About the family: Transfer RNA (tRNA) molecules are approximately 80 nucleotides in length. Their secondary structure includes four short double-helical elements and three loops (D, anti-codon, and T loops). Further hydrogen bonds mediate the characteristic L-shaped molecular structure. tRNAs have two regions of fundamental functional importance: the anti-codon, which is responsible for specific mRNA codon recognition, and the 3' end, to which the tRNAs corresponding amino acid is attached (by aminoacyl-tRNA synthetases). tRNAs cope with the degeneracy of the genetic code in two manners: having more than one tRNA (with a specific anti-codon) for a particular amino acid; and 'wobble' base-pairing, i.e. permitting non-standard base-pairing at the 3rd anti-codon position.
Source: Rfam
GGGAUCUUAGCUCAGCUGGGAGAGCACCUGCCUUACAAGCAGGGGGUCAUAGGUUCGAGCCCUAUAGGUCCCA